This 73-nucleotide transfer RNA is filed under the name Canis lupus familiaris (dog). It matches the Rfam family "tRNA". Rfam says of the family: Transfer RNA (tRNA) molecules are approximately 80 nucleotides in length. Their secondary structure includes four short double-helical elements and three loops (D, anti-codon, and T loops). The record is from Rfam by way of RNAcentral. Lineage: Eukaryota; Metazoa; Chordata; Mammalia; Carnivora; Canidae. RNAcentral also lists the same sequence under 1 other name.
GCCUGGCUGGCUCAGUUAGUAGAGCAUGAGACUCCCAAUCUCAGGGUCAUGAGUUCAAGCCCCACGUUGGACA